UGGGGAAUCUUGCACAAUGGGGGAAACCCUGAUGCAGCGACGCCGCGUGAACGAUGAAGCCCUUCGGGGUGUAAAGUUCUUUCGACAGGAACGAUAAUGACGGUACCUGGAGAAGAAGCUGCGGCUAACUACGUGCCAGCAGCCGCGGUAAUACGUAGGCAGCGAGCGUUGUUCGGAGUUCCUGGGCGUAAAGAGUGCGUAGGCGGCGGGCCAUGUUUGGUGUGAAAUCUCCCGACUUAACCGGGAGGGUGCGCCGAAAACUGGUUGGCUGGAGUAUGGGAGAGGAAAGCGGAAUUCCUGGUGUAGCGGUGAAAUGCGUAGAUAUCAGGAGGAACACCUGCGGUGUAGACAGCUUUCUGGACCAAAACUGACGCUGAGGCACGAAAGCGUGGGUAGCAAACA
This 402-nucleotide ribosomal RNA is filed under the name uncultured bacterium. RNAcentral's name for it is "bacterial SSU rRNA". It matches the Rfam family "Bacterial small subunit ribosomal RNA", at positions 355 to 774 of the family's 1533-position model. The record is from RNAcentral.